AUGAGAGCUCAACAAAAGCCUUCCCUGAAGAAAUGUGAUUUCAGCUACAACCCAGAGGAUGCAUGGGACUUAUCCAGUGUGGAGCUGGGCAGGGCGAACCCAGAGGGACCAGUGUGUGUGAUGACCCAGAGUGCAAGGGAAUAUAGAAGGUCCCAGGCACCUAGUCUUGCUGGACUGAAGAUGGCAGAGCUGAGGGUGGUGGAAGUGUUCUCACCAGUGGCACCAUCUUUGUGCUGUAUGGUGGAUGCUGUCCUGGGCAAUGUCCUCUACUCACCAGAUUCCAGUGGUGACUCCUCCCCUCCAAGUUUGGACAACCAAAAAUGUCUGCAGACAUUGCUGAAUGUGCCCCGGGGAAGCAAGAUCACCCUGGUGGAGACUCAUUGGUAUAAGGUAAAGCCAGAGAGCGGGGCUCGGACUAGCCACACAGAUCCGACUCUGGACCCCAAGGCCCUUGGAUUACCCCUAAAUGCUCAAGAAGCAUCUGGACCAAGGCCAAGGCAUAGGAUCCUAAACAUUCAAAGUCGUGACCUGGUUCACUCUGUUGCCUCCAAGUAAAACUGGAAUUCUGCUCAGGACAAAGCAUUUGUUUUUAUGGAGAUGCUUUAUCCUUGCUCCACUUGUCAAUUUUAAAGAAUUGGGGGCUGGAGAUAAAAAGGAAACCAAGUAAAUACAGUCUCGGGCAGGACAAAUGGGCAUCCAGUCACCUUCGUAGGGAAGACAAAGUAAAGUGGUUGAUGUGCUCUUUGAACAUAGGAGUGAUUAUCGGGGUUCCUGCUCCUGAGAAUGUUAACUGCAAGGACAGACCAGUCACAGGGUGACAUAACCCACCCCAGUCCACCCACAGGUCAUGGAGGCCUGGGGUAGGGUGGGGAGAAGAAGGGCACCCAGCCUGCUGGUGCUGACCUUAGGCGAGUCGAGCAUGGCAGAGGUAAGGAAGGUGGUGGAGACGUGUUCCUAGUUUGGCCAUGCCAUUGAAGGGAUGGUCUGCUCACUUUUAAAGUGUACUGGCCACAAAAGGACAAAAAACUGUAUGGUCCACUCUGUGUUCGUAGAAUAAUCAGACUCAUAAGGUAGAACUGCAGAUACUGGGGUCUGGGGGAGGGGACAGAGGAGUUAGUAUUUUGUGGGUACAGAGUUUUGACUGGGAAAGCGGACAGAGUUCUGGAGGAGGGUGGUGGAGAUGAAUGGACUCAGGGC
This 1197-nucleotide long non-coding RNA is filed under the name Fukomys damarensis (Damara mole-rat). RNAcentral's name for it is "lncRNA (ENSFDAG00000032741.1)". The record is from RNAcentral. Lineage: Eukaryota; Metazoa; Chordata; Mammalia; Rodentia; Bathyergidae.